Long non-coding RNA from Populus trichocarpa (black cottonwood), 630 nucleotides. RefSeq lists it as uncharacterized. The record is from RefSeq and is a predicted model, not a curated record. The transcript has 2 exons. Lineage: Eukaryota; Viridiplantae; Streptophyta; Magnoliopsida; Malpighiales; Salicaceae.
GAAUGGGAUGUGGCAAACAAGUGGUGGUUGGGGAAAGAUCGAUCGUGACAGUGCUGCUGAAGCUAUGCUCAAAUAUGCUGAUGCGGCCUAUUUAAUGCCAUACAAAUACGGAGAAUAACUUCAUUUGUAACUAAAUCUCUCUGCUUUAUGUUGCAGGCUUGCAAAUGAAUUAUAUUGAGCCUUUCUGUCAAGAUGAACUCGCUUUGUAUAAUUUGUAAAAUGUAUGUUUUCAAAGGUUGACUGAUAUCAACUUUUUGAUGUUUGUUUGAAAAACUGAGUUGCAGGAUAAGGAACUAAGGCAACGCCUACAAGAUAGUGAGCGCAAAUUGGGGUCAUCAAUGCCUUUAGAUGAAUCAAAGGAAAGAGUUGCUCAACUUGAAUCAGAAGUCACAUCUUUAGAGAGUUGCUCACAGAUCUUCAAGACAACAAGAAAAGCAGCUUCAUUGUUGGAGAAGUAGUACUAGGAGCCAUAUUUACUUUUGAAUAUCUUGACGAUGUUGCAGAAAGUGAAAAAACUAGUCUUGUAUUCUGUUGUGUAUUAUUUAGUCCUGUAUCGUUUGUAGCUUGCUAUCUUUCUGAAGGUUAAAUUACAGGAACCGUCCUCCAAGAAUGUUCCAAGUUUCGAGCUUU